Gossypium hirsutum (cotton) is the source of this 89-nucleotide non-coding RNA. Lineage: Eukaryota; Viridiplantae; Streptophyta; Magnoliopsida; Malvales; Malvaceae. The record is from Rfam.
UUUGAGGGGAAUGUUGGCUGGCUCGAAGCUUAAACAAAUAUAGCUUCGGUUUUGGUUUAAGUUUCGGACCAGGCUUCAUUCCUCUCAAA